Molecule: ribosomal RNA, 253 nt
Filed under: uncultured bacterium
Lineage: Bacteria
Description: partial 16S ribosomal RNA
Rfam family: Bacterial small subunit ribosomal RNA
Source: RNAcentral
UACGUAGGUGGCAAGCGUUGUCCGGAUUUAUUGGGUUUAAAGGGUGCGUAGGCGGCUUAUUAAGUCAGUGGUGAAAUACUCUAGCUCAACUAGAGGGGUGCCAUUGAUACUGAUGAGCUUGAGUACAGAUGAGGUAGGCGGAAUUGACGGUGUAGCGGUGAAAUGCUUAGAUAUCGUCAAGAACACCUAUAGCGAAGGCAGCUUACCAGGCUGUAACUGACGCUGAGGCACGAAAGUGUGGGGAUCAAACAGG